GACGAACGCUGGCGGCGUGCUUAACACAUGCAAGUCGAACGGAAAGGCCCUGCUUUUGUGGGGUGCUCGAGUGGCGAACGGGUGAGUAACACGUGAGUAACCUGCCCUUGACUUUGGGAUAACUUCAGGAAACUGGGGCUAAUACCGGAUAGGAGCUCCUGCUGCAUGGUGGGGGUUGGAAAGUUUCGGCGGUUUGGGAUGGUUUCGCGGCUUAUCAGCUUGUUGGUGGGGUAGUGGCUUACCAAGGCUUUGACGGGUAGCCGGCCUGAGAGGGUGACCGGGCACAUGGGUACUGAGGUAGGGACCAGACGCGUACGUGAGGCAGCGGUGGGGAAUAUUGCACAGUGAGCGGAAGCCUGAUGCAACAGCGUCGCGUGCGGAAUGACGGCCUUCGGGUUGUAAACCGCUUUCGCCUGUGACAAAGCGUGAGUGACGGUAAUGAGUAAAGAAGCACCGGCUAACUACGUG
This 468-nucleotide ribosomal RNA is filed under the name uncultured bacterium. RNAcentral's name for it is "partial 16S ribosomal RNA". It matches the Rfam family "Bacterial small subunit ribosomal RNA", at positions 28 to 507 of the family's 1533-position model. The record is from RNAcentral.